This 1534-nucleotide long non-coding RNA is filed under the name Homo sapiens (human). RNAcentral's name for it is "HSALNT0212060". The record is from RNAcentral. Lineage: Eukaryota; Metazoa; Chordata; Mammalia; Primates; Hominidae.
UUGGAUCUGCAAUUUUUAUCACUUGCAUGAGUCAGGUGAGACAUAAUACUCAUACAAGUUAUGUGAAGCAAUUUUAUUAUUCACACAUAGGCGGUAAGGGGAAGCAGAGCCCUAGAAUUCAUGAUGAGCUUUUCUGAAGCUCAGAAAAGCUGCCCAGGGUGUCUGGCAUCUUAUGUGUGCCCCACCUGCACUGCAGCUGAAAACAGUGUACCUUGGGUUUUAUAUCCCAGGGAUAACAUAAUUUGCCAAGCUAAAAUGCUGAAGGACAUCUUGUUCCAGGAGGGGCAGGAAUAGAGCCUGUUCCUUCUUAUCUCGGCAAGCUGCACUGCCAGCAUAUUCUCUAUGUUUAUGUUUGAGAACCUCACAUGAGAAAGGGGGAGAGAACUGGGUCAGUCCAAGGUCACCCGGAGCUCUGUCCUGCACACAUACCUGCCUUUCUUGAGGUGUUGCUUGAAAUAACAGUUCUAUACCUGCUAUUUGACCAUUAUACUGAUAUCAAUCUCCAGUUCCACUAAUACCUAUUGUAUAGAUGACUUCAUGUAAGUAGAUAAUUAAGAAGAUAAAAUGCAUGCAAAACAAAUACUCCCAAUUUUGUGCCUAAACAUGAUGCCCAGAAGAGAUUUUUAAAGGUUUUCUCUUUUCAUACACAAAUGGACAAUGCAAUUUAACAUGUUUUGCUAGUCACAAGAAAAUGUUUUACGUCGACAUCAUGACUUUUAUGCCACAAAACCAUUCUCACGUCUUGGACUCUGUAGAAAUAAAUAUUUACCAAUCACACUGAGGAUGCACCAGCUUGAUGGCCCAGGGAAUCAACAUCUCAGCACAUUCUUUAGCCAUCCAAAACACCGUAAUUUGGGGUUCUUUAGCAUAGCCAGUUUUGUUGGAAAAAUUCGCUCAGUUAUGUCCAAAAAUCAGUUGAUUAAAAGUAUUUUUACAUAUAUCAGAAUAAAAUACCGAUAUUCUUCCAUCUCCCCUUUAGUUACACUUCUGAACCCUAUUCAGGUUGCCAAGUCAGAAACUUGUGUGUCAUCAUAGACCCUUUCCUCUUCCUCUCCAUUUUUCCAAUAGAAGAGAAUUUUUGAAGUCAUAAGAUUUCAAUCUGGUGCACAUUUUUUCAUUCAUAUUCUCCUUUACAUCUUCACUGCUAUUACUCUGGUUCUGAUGUUGACCAUCUCUCUGUAGACCAUUGGAAUGACUCCCAGCUGAAGGCUUCCACUCCAAGGUUUAGAACACUUCAUUCUUACACUUGCAGUUUCCAAGGGUAUCUACAUGUUCAGCAGAUGGUUUGAAGUUAAGGACAUACCUGUUCCUAGAUGUCUCUUGUAAUUGCCUGCUGUUUUUUUGUGAUUUGUCUCACACGAUUUUUCAGUCACUUCCUCUCCAUUUCACAGUUCAGAUAAGGUGGUCUUCAACUGGUGAAGUGAAGUCCAUGUUGCCCAGGCUGGUCUUCAACUCCUGGGCUCAAGGAAUCCUCCUGCCUCAGCUUCUCAAAGUGCAGGGAUUUCAGGUGUGAGCCACCACACCCGACCUGGAA